UAGUGAAACUGCACAUAUCUCCUACCCAUCUCCUGAUUUUUCUUUUUUUGAGAGUUGAAUAAAAAGUUUCCUCACAGUCAGACAAAUCUCUCUCUUCAAAAGAGUGGCACUGCAGCUUUUUUUCAUGGGAAUUUGAAAUUUCUGAAUUUGUUGUCCACUCCAGCAGAGACUGGUGAAAGAGGAUGUGAUGAUGAAAUUGUAUUUCUGUUUGGGAAGUCAGCAUGGUGCACCCAUCCCUUAUUUCACCAUCUCCAAGAAGCAGAAUGCAGAGUGCAUGAGCACACUUUAAGUCUGCAGCACCUACCACCUGACCUCAGAGACCAAUGCAUCCAAAAUCCUCCAUGCUUUGCACAAAACUAGUAAAGUUAAAACCUAUUCUGUAGGUUCUUUGUGUGUAGCUUUCCUGGCACUGAUGAAGGUGCUGAUAUCCAGGGGUCCCAGCCAUCAUCACUUCUAGUGUUGGUAGUCCUGUAGGUGCUAUGGACUAUUGGGUAAAAAUUACACUUUAUCCUCAGUUCACACUGAAAUCUUCCCUGUCUUCUAUUUUUGCCCUUUUUUAUAUAGUUAUAUAACUGAAGACCAAAAAUAGGAGCCUGUAUUUCUACAGACAACAUAGUUCUACAGGGUUCAAGGAUAAAUUGUCUAUAUUUUGCCUCAGAAUGCAGUGCUAGGUAAGUUCACAUCCUGUACUUCAAUUAAUUAGAGAUACUCAUUAAAUAGAGCUAUUCUGAUUUGUGCCAAAUUAGGAGAUGUUUUGAUAUGGAGAAAAAGUUCCUAAAAAUUACACACAGCAUCCUUGAAGACUGAUGAAGUAAUGUAUGCCUCACCAUUGGCAGGGACAGUUUUUUGAUUUAACAUCUCUGCACAUAUAAAGUGCCUGUCCAAGGAUGCCCUAACAGUGCAAAACAAUACUUGUCCUUGGAAAUUACCAACUUAGCAUGAACAUUGUUGCAGACAUAUCUGUCUAUAAAAAUUUUUAAAAACCCAGCAAAAUAAACAAAAAAUCCAUAUUAAUCCAAAAUAAUUCACUUAAAUGAAUCUCUUAAAGGAAAAAUAAUCAGUAAUCAGUAGUUCACUUCCAGAAGGAAGGUGUGUAUCAAAAGAUUUGUGGGUGUCAAUUUCUUUUCCCAAGGAAAAAAAGUCAUGGCAAAUGGACUAGAGGAUACUUCCAAUACAUUUGUAGGUAAUAGCAAUGUAGAAAUCACUGAGAAAGAAACAAAAAAGCUCAGGUACAUCUUGCUACUAAAAAUGGUGCUGUUUUCCCCUGCUUUCUCUCAGACACGUUCUGGAGUUGACACUGCACGUGGUAUAUGGGGAAGUGACAAUACACCUGGCUCAGAAGAGUGUGUCAUUUCAGCCACAGACUUUGUAAAGGCACCUUGCAAUUGCACCCCAAUAAACACUGAAAACCAGAAACAGAGUUCAAAAUCUUGACAAGUGGAAAAUUCACUGGAAAUAGGAUUAAAUAGGAUAGGAGUAAAGUACUGUACUUAAGAAAUACAGAUGUCCAUUGUAGGUGACUUACAAGAUUGCAAUUCACCCUUUGAAGUUGGGUUUGGGGUUUUUUUUUUUGGUUUUGUUUUGUUUUUUGGGGUUUUUUAUGCCCAUGAGGACUUCUUAUUGCACCAUCUUGAUCCCGUACUUCUGUGCUACAUGUGUGGGUUUUGGGUUGUCUUUCCAGUUUGGUUAUGAUCAAGUAGCAGGGCAAAACAGAGAGAAGGCUGUCCCACAAGUCACUGAGCCGAUAAUAAACCUGCUGCCAAUGCUUACUGCACAUAACACCUGUAGCAAUCCCUGUGUUCCAAGUAAUUGUUUCACCUACAGCCACCAGCUUCUGCCUUUUAAAACAAGGCAGGAGACAAAACAAGCAAAAAAUCUGCUCUCCCAAGCAAAAAUCACAACCUACAUGACGUGGUUAGGUGGCUUCACAUCUCUCCUGCUGUAUAUCCAGAAUUAAAGCUGACACUGAUCUCUCCUGAGUUUUCAAGAAGACCUUACUCAGGUGGAAACCUUGUGGAAGGGUUCAGUUCACCAGAGUUCUCAGCUGCCUCCUCUAGAUAUCAUUCUAUCUUUAUAUGAAUUUGCUUUCAUAGACAGGCACUCAAAAGCUGUACCUGCACCCUUCUACUCUUCAACAGGAUACAAGGAAUAUUUAAUUUCCAUACUGCACUGCCCUUGUUAUCUUCCCACUAUGAAUGGAGCAAUAUUAUGUGUAACUAACAGAUGAGAUUUCUCUUCUUAGGCUUUUACCAGAGGAAUAAUCAUUUAUUUUCCUAACUUUUAUAUGAAAGAAAAAGUUUGUUGGGUUUUUUUUUUUUUUGAGAAUUGCCUUCUGAUGAGAUUUAAACCAAUAGAAUUACAUAAAAAUAUAAACAAUAUUCAAAAUAAGAGACUUGGGCUCCUCAACCAUGUUUACACAGGCAUCUGAGUGAGGAAACCCUUGUUCUGAGCCACACACAUAUCAUUCUCCAUGGAAUGUGGUUUGUAAAAAGCUGUAUUUUUCCCUCUUCCAACUCACUCAGAGGCUUUUCUAUGGUUUUUUCUGCUUUCCUCUCCUAUAGUCCUGUACCAGCCCAUUUUCCUCCUUCUAUUCUUAUUGCUGCUGUGUCCUGAUUCUUUGACCUCUUUGCAGGAUGUACCAGAGCUCAGAUUCCUGCCUUUCAGCAGGAAGACCAGCCUGCAGACCAGAGGAACACACUGCAGGGUCAUCCUUGAGGGGCACAGCGAGCUCCUCCGAGCAGAUCCUGAGACCCUUGGCUGCUGGCAGCAAAGGGAGCCACAGGGUGGGGAACUCCACGGCUCAGCAUUUAGCCAGGGUCAGCUGUACUCACAUGCCCCUGGUUUUACUCUACAGCCAUACUGAGAAAAAAACCCCAAAACAACAAACAAAACCUAACCAAAAAAAUAAGAGAUCAUAAAAUGUAUAAUACUUAAGUUUGCUGCCAAAACAUUGUUCUCAACAGUUUAUGCUGAAAAGAGAGGAGUCUUUUCAUCCCCAGAAAUCCCAGAACAGGAUAGCAACAGAUACUGCUCAAAGCAAAAAACUUCCAGAUACUGAGAACACUUAGAUGCUUUGUUUCCCCUCCUGAAGAUGAGUGUAAGAGCUGCCAUUUAAUCCAAGCUUGCUCAGGGAUCUGGAUGGAAGCAUUGCAUGGAAGACAACCCCAGAGAGAUUUGUCCAGGAGAGCUGCCUUACUAUCAAGGACCACCUCAUUCAAGCUCAAGAAAGGCCUUUCCUGACAAGCAUGAAACCAAGCAAAGAUGGCAUGGAUGGACUUAGGAAAGCCAAGGUCCUUCUGAAGUGAAAUUUGGUGAAGGACAUGGAAGGUCAGUAACAAAGGGAUUUUAUAGAUAUAGCAGCAACAGGAAAGCUACAGAAAACAUCUGCCAGCUGCUAAAUGGGCUGUGAGAUCUGUGACAAAGAAUACAGAAAAGAUCAAGGAAUUCGGCGUCCACUCUGCCUCAGUCUUUUAAUGGUAGGAUUUGCCUUCAGGAAUCCCAGGCCUCUGAAAACAGGAAGUCUGGAACAAGAAAGACUUAACUCUGGGCAGAUCAGGGAUCAGGGUGGGAACACUUAAGCAAGCCAGACCUACACAAUCAGUGGGAUCUGAUGGGAUGCACCAUAAAUGUGGAGUGAGCUGGCUGAUGUCUUGUUUGUCUUGACUUCAAGGCUUCUGGCACUCUGACUUCCUCAUAGGCAAAGUGGUGAACUCUGGAUGAGAUAAGCUGGCAGUGAGGUAUACUGAAAACUGGCUGCACCUGAGGCUCAAAGAUGUCAUCAGCAGCACAAAAUGCAUCUUGACAGUCACUAGUGGUGUUCCCCUGUGGUUGGUCCUGGGAUCAAUACUAUUUAACACCUUCAUAAAUGAGCCAGAGGGUGGGGCAGAAUGACCCUCAGGAAUUUUGCAGCUGAUACAAGACUGGGAGGAGCUGUUGAUACACCAGAUGGUUGUGCUGCCAUUCAGAGGGACUUUGACAGACUGAGAAAUGGACAUCUGUACUGCUUUGGUUCAGAUGUGACAUGAAAACGUGAUGCUCCAUUUCCCAAAUGGGAACCUACUGAACUGGCACUGCAUUGUCACAGGAAUAUAUUGAUUACACCAAAACUGCUCAAGAAAUAAAUUGGGGGAGGGGGAGGACAGAUCACUUCAAAUGAAGAAUUUAUGUCCGGCAUUGUUUAAUUCAGAAUAAAUGUAAGAAUGCAAGCAACUUCAUUCAUUUAUGUCUUACUUCCAGUUCAGAUUUAGCUGAAAUAUAACAGAGAAAGCAACAUAGAGAGGUCUUCUUGUUGGUUUGUAAAUUUUAGUAGACAUGGAAAAUGUAAGACAAUUUAUCUGAGUGAUGUGGUCUACCACAUAGGUACCAGUAAAUGCAGUUUCAGAAGCUAUCUUUCAUGACAGCCACUCAGUAGCAGCAGAAAGCUUAGAAGUCAUAAAUUAUGUUUCAAACACAUUCUAUUGUCCAAAGUGACAAAUCUUAGUCUUUUAAAUUCAUACAACCGUAAAACAGUAUUUUCUUCCACCACAAAAGUAGCAAAAUGUUUAGGGCUCUUCUGAAUCAAACUAAUCACACUCAUUUAUGAGCAUUCUGAAGCACUUUCAUUAUGUGGCUUAAAUAUUUAUCAUACCACAAACAUGUAUGCUUAUACUACAAUGAGACAAAAUAAGAAGCAUUGACAAAAUGGAGAUCAAUAACUUUGACCAUCAGUCUAUAUAGAUCUUGUUCCAAAAGCUAUUCAUUUGAAUUUAUCUUACAAUUAAAUGAAUAAUCCUCUGGUAACCUUAUUGAUUAUAAACACAACCUGAGAUGGCCCACAUAGGUCAGGAUGACUAAUGUGAAAAUCUAAAAGUCAAAGAAGGGAUUCAUGCCCUCAACAGUAUCAACAAUUCCCCUUGGGCAUGAUGACAAACAAGUGCUAAUAUAUGUCAGAAAAACACAAGAUUUUUAAAGUGAUGUGAGAUUAUACUGUUGUAGCAUACAAGUGAAACAAGUGCUUUUAGUACACUUAAAGGUGAACCUACUAUAUGAUCCAAAACUUUAAAUGAGGUAUUUCUUAACCUGUUUGUUUUGUCACUAAAUAUAGGGAGUCCCAAAGCUUACUGUACCAAAUUUUUUAUUAUUUCAAACAAACUUCUGUACAAAAACAUCAAAGCAGGCCAAGAAAUCCUGUGGCUUCGCAAACAGCACAUGACAACUCACAGAAUGCUUUAAGGUUUACAUUUUUAUUAUACAAGUGACAAAUAGUUUUUCUCUGGGCUACUUAAAGAUAAGACUUCAUUGUUUGACAAAAAAUUGCAGGUAAGCAUAUAUUAACUUCAGUUACCAAAGCUCAACAGAAUGGCCUGUCAUCCACCUAAUUUACCUAAUUGGAAGUGACUAUGAACAAAGCAGGAUUUUGCCUAAACAUACAUUUUUAAAUGUCCCCCCCCCCAAUUAAAAAUAGAGCCUGUAAACAGUGGAUUUACUACUGUGAAAAUAGUGUAGUCAUUGCUUUCAGAAAAAGAAAAAGAUGUAACGUGAGUGAGUUCUAACUCUCUCCCCAAGAACAACAUAGCAACUGGCUGCUGCACCUGCAGAGGUGUGACAUGAAUGCUGGAGUUGUGGUGCUGUCCAGCAUCAGGACAUGCAUGACAUUGGCACCUGUGGGUUCUGAUCAUGUCUGAGAAACCUCAUGGGGGUUGCUGUGCUCAGAAAUAAGCUCUCAAGUUAAUCCCUACUCCAGAGAAUUUGUGACAUUAAUACUGUUUAAGGACUGAGUUCAAUGACACAGUUUGUAAAAGUGCAGCCGAGUUCCAGCAGACCAAAUGCAUCUUCAAA
Long non-coding RNA from Passer domesticus (house sparrow), 5817 nucleotides. RefSeq lists it as uncharacterized. The transcript has 3 exons. NCBI's taxonomy places the organism in Eukaryota, Metazoa, Chordata, Aves, Passeriformes, Passeridae. The record is from RefSeq and is a predicted model, not a curated record.